RNAcentral lists this ribosomal RNA (687 nucleotides) under Cellulomonas sp. W2E. RNAcentral's name for it is "bacterial SSU rRNA". It matches the Rfam family "Bacterial small subunit ribosomal RNA", at positions 674 to 1361 of the family's 1533-position model. The record is from RNAcentral. Lineage: Bacteria; Bacillati; Actinomycetota; Actinomycetes; Micrococcales; Cellulomonadaceae. RNAcentral also lists the same sequence under 1 other name.
UGAACGGGUGAAUGCGCAGAUAUCAGAAGAACACCGAUGGCGAAGGCAGUCACUGGCCCGCAACUUGACGCUGAGNAGCGAAAGCAUGGGGAGCGAACAGGAUUAGAUACCCUGGUAGUCCAUGCCGUAAACGUUGGGCACUAGGUGUGGGGCUCAUUCCACGAGUUCCGUGCCGCAGCAAACGCAUUAAGUGCCCCGCCUGGGGAGUACGGCCGCAAGGCUAAAACUCAAAGAAAUUGACGGGGGCCCGCACAAGCGGCGGAGCAUGCGGAUUAAUUCGAUGCAACGCGAAGAACCUUACCAAGGCUUGACAUACACCGGAAAAGUGCAGAGAUGUGCUCCCCGUAAGGUCGGUGUACAGGUGGUGCAUGGUUGUCGUCAGCUCGUGUCGUGAGAUGUUGGGUUAAGUCCCGCAACGAGCGCAACCCUCGUCCCAUGUUGCCAGCGGGUUAUGCCGGGGACUCAUGGGAGACUGCCGGGGUCAACUCGGAGAAAGGUGGGGAUGACGUCAAAUCAUCAUGCCCCUUAUGUCUUGGGCUUCACGCAUGCUACAAUGGCCGGUACAAAGGGCUGCGAUACCGCGAGGUGGAGCGAAUCCCAAAAAGCCGGUCUCAGUUCGGAUUGGGGUNUGCAACUCGACCCCAUGAAGUNGGAGUCGCUAGUAAUUGCANAUNAANCANGUAGGUA